AAAAAGAUAAGCUAACUAAGCUAAUGGGUUCAUACCCCGUGUAUAAAGGUUCUAGUCCUUUUCUUUUUA
Molecule: transfer RNA, 69 nt
Filed under: Cleroidea sp. 3 KM-2017
Lineage: Eukaryota; Metazoa; Arthropoda; Insecta; Coleoptera
Description: tRNA-Met
Rfam family: tRNA
About the family: Transfer RNA (tRNA) molecules are approximately 80 nucleotides in length. Their secondary structure includes four short double-helical elements and three loops (D, anti-codon, and T loops).
Source: RNAcentral